GACGAACGCUGGCGGCGUGCUUAACACAUGCAAGUCGAACGGAAAGGCCCUGCUUUUGUGGGGUGCUCGAGUGGCGAACGGGUGAGUAACACGUGAGUAACCUGCCCUUGACUUUGGGAUAACUUCAGGAAACUGGGGCUAAUACCGGAUAGGAGCUCCUGCUGCAUGGUGGGGGUUGGAAAGUUUCGGCGGUUGGGGAUGGACUCGCGGCUUAUCAGCUGGUUGGUGGGGUAGUGGCUUACCAAGGCUUUGACGGGUAGCCGGCCUGAGAGGGUGACCGGCCACAUUGGGACUGAGAUACGGCCCAGACUCCUACGGGAGGCAGUAGUGGGGAAUAUUGCACAAUGGGCGGAAGCCUGAUGCAGCAACGCCGCGUGCGGGAUGACGGCCUUCGGGUUGUAAACCGCUUUCGCCUGUGACGAAGCGUGAGUGACGGUAAUGGGUAAAGAAGCACCGGCUAACUACGUG
RNAcentral lists this ribosomal RNA (468 nucleotides) under uncultured bacterium. RNAcentral's name for it is "partial 16S ribosomal RNA". It matches the Rfam family "Bacterial small subunit ribosomal RNA", at positions 28 to 507 of the family's 1533-position model. The record is from RNAcentral.